AAAUGCUAAACGUGCCACGUGUGAUGUCUGCAGGAGAAAGGGAGGGCAAAAACAAACAGCACGCGUCCCGAGAUGAGUGACUGCUUGCGGAGGCCUUGGGAUCUCUGCUUCUGCUCGCUAGGAAUAGGAUUCUAGGUCAGCAAGGAAAUCCCAUUAUUACGGCAAGCCGUGAUGGAUAACUUUAACCCUACAUGCAUGUGCUUUUGCGCUUGCGUGUGUCUGUGUGCUUUUGUGUUAUUCGAACACUUGCAGAAAAUGUUUGAUGGUGUUUGCUAGCACAUGUAUGCUCGAAUAAGUUGCUAUUUACUCGGUCAGAACGUGAAAACAACUGCCACCUUUGGUGCUGAAUGGGACUGAUUGCUAGUCAGUAAGCAGGCGGCGGAUGAUCACUGUUAUCUGGACGAGGCAGAAGGGCUGGGGGAGGGUGCCUGUACCUAACAGACACCCCAAAGGAAAAACCUCAACGACUUGGAGGGUUGCAUGAAACCAAAACAAGGGGAAUGCAAUGAAAGGCUAUGAGUGAAGACCUGAAAUUCAGUCCCGAGGAAGCUACUUUGAACUUUUGCUGAGCUUCUUGUAGUACAACUACAGUAAAGUAUUAUCAAAAAUAGUAAAUAAAAUGAACCUAACUCGCAUUGAGCUCAGGACAAGAAUGAAGCAAGUGAAGCACGCUUCCUUUUUCCUGCCUGGAAAAGGGAUGUGGAAAACUGUGGGGCUGUACACCUUUUUCCGGAUGUACGCAGACUACUGCAUGAUUGUCUAAAAGGAUGCAUGAAACAAUUUUUCUAAUUCUGGCUCAUAUAGGACAAGCCACUAAUUAUUUUAUCAGUAUGCUGUGCCCAAGAACAAAUGAAUGGCCAAUAUUAAAAUCG
Molecule: long non-coding RNA, 872 nt
Organism: Carassius gibelio (silver crucian carp)
Lineage: Eukaryota; Metazoa; Chordata; Actinopteri; Cypriniformes; Cyprinidae
Exons: 3
Source: RefSeq, a predicted model, not a curated record